UGUCUCGUUUUAACAGUCUUAAGUUAGAGCUGAGUCAAAGUGCGCUCUAUAAAUCUCGGGCGGUUUGUGUACAACUUGAUUGGGAGAAAAAUAUCUUACUAUGUAAUUAUAAUGUAAGUGUAAUUCGAAAGGAAAUGUAAGGGUGACAACAUUGUGAUUUGUUAAUAUAUCACGAUAAGUAUUAAAUACGUUUCCGAACCAAAUAAUUAUAUUAAAAUAAAACGAAUAAAUUGGAA
This is a long non-coding RNA of Maniola jurtina (meadow brown), 236 nucleotides long. RefSeq lists it as uncharacterized. NCBI's taxonomy places the organism in Eukaryota, Metazoa, Arthropoda, Insecta, Lepidoptera, Nymphalidae. The transcript is spliced from 2 exons. The record is from RefSeq and is a predicted model, not a curated record.